Long non-coding RNA from Papilio xuthus (Asian swallowtail), 444 nucleotides. RefSeq lists it as uncharacterized. The transcript is spliced from 3 exons. Lineage: Eukaryota; Metazoa; Arthropoda; Insecta; Lepidoptera; Papilionidae. The record is from RefSeq and is a predicted model, not a curated record.
GUCAAUGUCAAACUAUCAAUGUCAAUAUGUAAAAGGUAAAACUUCAAAAUUUACUUUCGCUGCAGUUUAAAAUAUUAUUGUUAUCUAGAGACAUCAAAUAUCUCUUUUGAUAUUGAAAGUAAUCAAAUAAACUGCUAUAUAUCUGAAAUAUAAAAUGUUGAAAGGAGUGGUUAUUUUUGGCACCGGUGUCUACGCCGGUGUAUAUAUAGCACAAAAUUAUCAGAUUGACAAAGUAGAAAAUCCUAAGGUAUUAUUGGACAAAGCACAAGACUUCAUCAAAUCCAAACUAGGAGAUUUGUCUGACACCAAAAAAGACAAAUGAUUGAAACAGGUUGAGGCAAUAAAAUGUAAUAGACAAUGAAUUAAAUUAAACAUUUUAUUAUUGUAAAUACCGCUUACCCUAAUAGUCCUAGUUAACAAUAAUUUAAAUAAACAAUAUGUUUA